RNAcentral lists this transfer RNA (71 nucleotides) under Ictidomys tridecemlineatus (thirteen-lined ground squirrel). RNAcentral describes it as "Spermophilus tridecemlineatus (thirteen-lined ground squirrel) tRNA". It matches the Rfam family "tRNA". Rfam says of the family: Transfer RNA (tRNA) molecules are approximately 80 nucleotides in length. Their secondary structure includes four short double-helical elements and three loops (D, anti-codon, and T loops). The record is from Rfam by way of RNAcentral. Lineage: Eukaryota; Metazoa; Chordata; Mammalia; Rodentia; Sciuridae.
GAUGAUGUAGCUCAGGGGUAUAGCAUUUACCUAGCAUGCAUGAGGCCUGGGCUCAAGCCCCAGCAACACUA